UUCUGCUCAUCGGCGCAGGUGGAGCAUCUCGCGGCGUACUACUGCCACUUCUUUCCCUGGACUGUGCGGUGACAAUCACUAAUCGGACGGUAUCCCGAGCGGAAGAGUUGGCUAAAUUGUUUGCGCACACUGGCAGUAUUCAGGCGUUGGGUAUGGACGAACUGGAAGGUCAUGAGUUUGAUCUCAUUAUUAAUGCCACAUCCAGUGGCAUCAGUGGUGAUAUUCCGGCGAUCCCGUCAUCGCUCAUUCAUCCAGGCAUUUAUUGCUAUGACAUGUUCUAUCAGAAAGGAAAAACUCCUUUUUUGGCAUGGUGUGAGCAGCGAGGCUCAAAGCCUACUGCUGAUGGUUUAGGAAUGCUGGUGGCACAGGCGGCUCAUGCCUUCCUUCUUUGGCAUGGCGUUCUGCCUGAUGUAGAACCAGUUAUAAAGCAAUUGCAGGAGGAAUUGUCCGCGUGAAUCAGGCCAUCCAGUUUCCGGACAGAGAAGAGUGGGUCGAGAAUAAAAAAUGUGUAUGUUUUCCCGCUCUCGUGAAUGGCAUGCAACUGACAUGUGCGAUCUCUGGCGAUAGCCUGGCGUAUCGCUUUACAGGAGAUACGCCAGAGCAGUGGUUAGCGAGUUUUCGUCAGCAUCGCUGGGACUUGGAAGAAGAAGCGGAAAACUUAAUUCAGGAACAAAGUGAAGAUGAUCAAGGCUGGGUCUGGUUACCCUGAUCCAGAUAUUCGUCCUUCCAUUUCACGUAAUUAUUCGCGGAAUAGCGUAACCCAGCCUUCUCUUCAUCACUUAACGGGCGGAUCUGUUUGACGGGACUACCGAGAUACAGAUAUCCGCUCUCCAGCCGUUUAUUUUGUGGGACCAGACUACCCGCACCAAUCAUCACAUCAUCUUCUACUAUUGCGCCAUCAAGUAAAAUUGAGCCCAUCCCAACCAAAACUCGAUUGCCAAUGGUGCAGCCGUGGAGCAUCACCUUGUGACCAACAGUGACAUCUUCGCCAAUGGUUAAUGGGUUGCCAUCUGGGUUGUACGAGGAUUUAUGAGUGACAUGCAACAUACUGCCAUCCUGGAUAUUGGUGCGUGCUCCGAUCUGUACAUAAUGUACAUCUCCACGAAUCACAACGAGCGGCCAGAUCCCCACAUCAUCAGCCAGACGAACGUCACCAAUCACGACACUGCUAUCGUCGAUCAUUACGCGCUGACCGAUUUGUGGAAAAAGAUCGCGGUAUGGGCGUAAAACAUCAGACAUACUUACCUCAGCAAUAAAUGAUUUACUAAUGACUUUGGGGGCAUUAUUGGCCUUGUGCAAGUCUUUUAGUAUGCAAAAAAGCACCGUUUUGUGUGCGAAUGCAGCAAAAAGGGUGAAAAAACAACAAACAGAAAAAAAGAUCAAAAAAGUACUUGUGCAAAAAAUUGGGAUCCCUAUAAUGCGCCUCCGUUGAGACGACAACGUGAAACACUUCACAAGAUGGUCGUAACAACGAAGAGAAAAAAUCCUGGAAUUCAGGGUUGACUCUGAAAGAGGAAAGCGUAAUAUACGCCACCUCGCGACAGUGAGCUGAAAGCCGCGUCGCAACUGCUCUUUAACAAUUUAUCAGACAAUCUGUGUGGGCACUCGAAGAUACGGAUUCUUAACGUCGCAAGACGAAAAAUGAAUACCAAGUCUCAA
This 1659-nucleotide ribosomal RNA is filed under the name Escherichia coli ATCC 700728. Its description in RNAcentral is "partial 23S ribosomal RNA". Lineage: Bacteria; Pseudomonadati; Pseudomonadota; Gammaproteobacteria; Enterobacterales; Enterobacteriaceae. The record is from RNAcentral.